AUACUUACCUGGCAGGGAGAUACCAUGAUCAAGAAGGUGGUUUCACCUCAGGGUGACGGGCUCGUCCAUUGUCCUUCGCGAUGUGCUGACCCCUGCGAUUCCCAAAUGUGGGAAUCUCGACUGCAUAAUUUCUUGGUAGUGGGGACUGCGUUCGCGCUCUCGCCUG
Small nuclear RNA from Astyanax mexicanus (Mexican tetra), 166 nucleotides. Its record names the gene U1. It matches the Rfam family "U1 spliceosomal RNA". Rfam says of the family: U1 is a small nuclear RNA (snRNA) component of the spliceosome (involved in pre-mRNA splicing). Its 5' end forms complementary base pairs with the 5' splice junction, thus defining the 5' donor site of an intron. NCBI's taxonomy places the organism in Eukaryota, Metazoa, Chordata, Actinopteri, Characiformes, Acestrorhamphidae. The record is from Ensembl.